This 433-nucleotide ribosomal RNA is filed under the name uncultured bacterium. RNAcentral describes it as "partial 16S ribosomal RNA". It matches the Rfam family "Bacterial small subunit ribosomal RNA", at positions 29 to 507 of the family's 1533-position model. The record is from RNAcentral.
AACGAACGCUGGCGGCAUGCCUAACACAUGCCAGUCGAACGAGACCUUCGGGUCUAGUGGCGCACGGGUGCGUAACGCGUGGGAACCUGCCCUUAGGUUCGGAAUAACUCCCCGAAAGGGGUGCUAAUACCGGAUAAUGUCUUCGGACCAAAGAUUUAUCGCCUUUGGAUGGGCCCGCGUUGGUUUAGCUAGUUGGUAGGGUAAAAGCCUACCAAGGCGACGAUCCAUAGCUGGUCUGAGAGGAUGAUCAGCCACACUGGGACUGAGACACGGCCCAGACUCCUACGGGAGGCAGCAGUGGGGAAUAUUGGACAAUGGGCGAAAGCCUGAUCCAGCAAUGCCGCGUGAGUGAUGAAGGCCUUAGGGUUGUAAAGCUCUUUUACCCGGGAUGAUAAUGACAGUACCGGGAGAAUAAGCGCCGGCUAACUCCGUG